GACGAACGCUGGCGGCGUGCUUAACACAUGCAAGUCGAACGAAGAGCGAUGGAAGCUUGCUUCUAUCAAUCUUAGUGGCGAACGGGUGAGUAACGCGUAAUCAACCUGCCCUUCAGAGGGGGACAACAGUUGGAAACGACUGCUAAUACCGCAUACGAUCCAAUCUCGGCAUCGGGACUGGAUGAAAGGUGGCCUCUAUUUAUAAGCUAUCACUGAAGGAGGGGAUUGCGUCUGAUUAGCUAGUUGGAGGGGUAACGGCCCACCAAGGCGAUGAUCAGUAGCCGGUCUGAGAGGAUGAACGGCCACAUUGGGACUGGGACACGGCCCAGACUCCUACGGGAGGCAGCAGUGGGGAAUCUUCCGCAAUGGACGAAAGUCUGACGGAGCAACGCCGCGUGAGUGAUGACGGCCUUCGGGUUGUAAAGCUCUGUUAAUCGGGACGAAUGGUUCUUGUGCGAAUAGUGCGAGGAUUUGACGGUACCGGAAUAGAAAGCCACGGCUAACUACGUG
Molecule: ribosomal RNA, 510 nt
Filed under: uncultured bacterium
Lineage: Bacteria
Description: partial 16S ribosomal RNA
Rfam family: Bacterial small subunit ribosomal RNA
Source: RNAcentral